UACGUAGGGGGCAAGCGUUGUCCGGAAUUAUUGGGCGUAAAGAGCUCGUAGGCGGUCUGUCGCGUCGGCUGUGAAAACCCGGGGCUCAACCCCGGGCCUGCAGUCGAUACGGGCAGACUAGAGUGCGGUAGGGGAGACUGGAAUUCCUGGUGUAGCGGUGAAAUGCGCAGAUAUCAGGAGGAACACCAGUGGCGAAGGCGGUUCUCUGGGCAUUACCUGACGCUGAGGAGCGAAAGUGUGGGGAGCGAACAGG
This 253-nucleotide ribosomal RNA is filed under the name uncultured bacterium. Its description in RNAcentral is "partial 16S ribosomal RNA". It matches the Rfam family "Bacterial small subunit ribosomal RNA", at positions 524 to 776 of the family's 1533-position model. The record is from RNAcentral.